This is a long non-coding RNA of Diachasmimorpha longicaudata, 748 nucleotides long. RefSeq lists it as uncharacterized. The record is from RefSeq and is a predicted model, not a curated record. The transcript has 3 exons. Lineage: Eukaryota; Metazoa; Arthropoda; Insecta; Hymenoptera; Braconidae.
GAAGAACAACGUAAGAGUGAAACUGUUGAAACAUCGAGCCUUAUUUCUUUUACUCACCAACGUUCCGCACUUAAAAAUGAUAACCAGUACAAAAGAUGAAACUAAACUUUAUGAUGUUGGUGACCCCAACCCGAAUCCUAGAGCACGAGCAUUCUACGUCUCCACGUUCCUGUCAGGUAUAUAAUGAAGAGCAGUUGCUCCAGGUCGUCAGUUAUUUCAAGUCAUCGAUCUUCCAGAGUCACUUGUGAUCGUCAAUAUUUGUCUACUCAGUAAUGAAGACCACCGGAAACUGUAUUUUCCUGCUGAUUUUCAUGGCGACUCUGGUGAUGGCACAAAGGGUUCCUGGUGACUUCCAAGCACCGAGAUUCGGCUUUAAUGGUAUGGAUAUUAAUACCUGGAUGAACAAAUUUUGCACACAUUUCUGCGAUCCCUCGAUGUCAGUGGCCCUCAGGACAUUCUCCCUGUGUUCUAUCAAAUGUCCCACCACUACAACAACUGAAAAAUCAUCUACAUCCGAUACAAAGGCCACAACUCCCCCAGCUUCUAGCUCGACAUCAUCAGACGUCCCGGUGACCCCUUCAACGACUAUGCCGAGUGUUUUACGAGAAUCGAACAAUGGAGGUACGGUCAUUGUUGUCGAUAAGUCGACUCCAAAGGCAGCAAGUAAGACUUAAGAUUUUUUGACGAUUUUUGGAGGCUCGAGGUUCUAUUAGAUUCUCAGAAGAAAAUAAAUUUGUAAUGUAAAUUA